This 87-nucleotide transfer RNA is filed under the name Fidelibacterota bacterium. Its description in RNAcentral is "tRNA-Leu". It matches the Rfam family "tRNA". From Rfam's summary of the family: Transfer RNA (tRNA) molecules are approximately 80 nucleotides in length. The record is from RNAcentral. Lineage: Bacteria; Pseudomonadati; Fidelibacterota.
GCCCGGGUGGCGGAAUUGGUAGACGCGCACGGUUCAGGUCCGUGUGUCCUAAAAGACGUGCUGGUUCGACUCCAGUCUCGGGCACAA